RNAcentral lists this ribosomal RNA (497 nucleotides) under uncultured bacterium. RNAcentral describes it as "partial 16S ribosomal RNA". It matches the Rfam family "Bacterial small subunit ribosomal RNA", at positions 28 to 507 of the family's 1533-position model. The record is from RNAcentral.
GAUGAACGCUGGCGGCGUGCCUAAUACAUGCAAGUCGAGCGAACAGACGAGGAGCUUGCUCCUCUGACGUUAGCGGCGGACGGGUGAGUAACACGUGGAUAACCUACCUAUAAGACUGGGAUAACUUCGGGAAACCGGAGCUAAUACCGGAUAAUAUAUUGAACCGCAUGGUUCAAUAGUGAAAGACGGUUUUGCUGUCACUUAUAGAUGGAUCCGCGCCGCAUUAGCUAGUUGGUAAGGUAACGGCUUACCAAGGCAACGAUGCGUAGCCGACCUGAGAGGGUGAUCGGCCACACUGGAACGGGGACACGGUCCGGACUCCUACGGGAGGCAGCAGUAGGGAAUCUUCCGCAAUGGGCGAAAGCCUGACGGAGCAACGCCGCGUGAGUGAUGAAGGUCUUCGGAUCGUAAAACUCUGUUAUUAGGGAAGAACAAAUGUGUAAGUAACUAUGCACGUCUUGACGGUACCUAAUCAGAAAGCCACGGCUAACUACGUG